This 73-nucleotide transfer RNA is filed under the name Thermoplasmatota archaeon. Its description in RNAcentral is "tRNA-Pro". It matches the Rfam family "tRNA". Rfam says of the family: Transfer RNA (tRNA) molecules are approximately 80 nucleotides in length. Their secondary structure includes four short double-helical elements and three loops (D, anti-codon, and T loops). Lineage: Archaea; Methanobacteriati; Thermoplasmatota. The record is from RNAcentral.
GGGCCUGUGGGGUAGCUUGGUAUCCUUGUAGCUUCGGGAGUUAUUGACCUGAGUUCAAAUCUCAGCAGGCCCA